UACGGAGGGGACUAGCGUUGUUCGGAAUUACUGGGCGUAAAGCGCACGUAGGCGGAUUUGUAAGUCAGGGGUGAAAUCCCGGGGCUCAACCUCGGAACUGCCUUUGAUACUGCAAAUCUCGAGUCCGGAAGAGGUGAGUGGAAUUCCUAGUGUAGAGGUGAAAUUCGUAGAUAUUAGGAGGAACACCAAUAGCGAAGGCAGCUCGCUGGGACGUUACUGACACUGAGGCGCGAAAGCGUGGGGAGCGAACAGG
This 253-nucleotide ribosomal RNA is filed under the name uncultured bacterium. Its description in RNAcentral is "partial 16S ribosomal RNA". It matches the Rfam family "Bacterial small subunit ribosomal RNA", at positions 524 to 776 of the family's 1533-position model. The record is from RNAcentral.